Long non-coding RNA from Hemicordylus capensis (graceful crag lizard), 508 nucleotides. RefSeq lists it as uncharacterized. Lineage: Eukaryota; Metazoa; Chordata; Lepidosauria; Squamata; Cordylidae. The transcript has 3 exons. The record is from RefSeq and is a predicted model, not a curated record.
AAAGAAAUCCACGUGACUUUUACAUGAUCUCCUCAAGAGAAACCAAGCUUUUAGAAAUAUACUGGGAAAUAUUAGUCUUGGCUGCCACUUUCCUGGAGCUCAGCAGCUGCAACAGCUGUCGUCAUUUUCUGCAUUAGCAAGCAAGAUGAGGAGGAUGUGACUUUCCUAAAUCAGUGCUUGGGUGAGAUAAUGGACUGGAUGAGAGGGCAUAAACCGAGACGCAGUCCAGGCAAGACAGAAAUACUGAUGAUUGGUGUUUCAUCCAUCCAGGGUGGAGGAAGAUGUAGCAGGGCCUCUCCUGAUUAUUACAGCGUGCAGGCAGGUUCAUUUGGGAGGAGACAAGAGGUUGUAUAUUAUGUGAUGAAGCUCCAAUCUAUUGCAGAUUUGGAGCCAUUUGUAAAGGAAGUUCUUUCCUUACUGUGUCUGGUUUGGACUGGGAUGGCAAAAAGUGAUGCUUCUUUGCACAACUGGGUUGCUUGUACACCUGGCUUUCUUAUUACUUUUGCAC